Molecule: non-coding RNA, 83 nt
Organism: Hypoxylon sp. FL1150
Lineage: Eukaryota; Fungi; Ascomycota; Sordariomycetes; Xylariales; Hypoxylaceae
Source: the annotation of a GenBank genome assembly
AAACUUGUAGUUCAGUGGUAGAACGCUCGCUUUGCACAUAGCAACUUGCGAGAGGUCCAGUGGUUCGAUUCCCUGCAAGUCUG